UACGUAGGCAGCAAGCGUUGUUCGGAAUUACUGGGCGUAAAGAGUGUGUAGGCGGUGCUCUAAGUCUGUUGUGAAAUCUCCCGGCUUAACUGGGAGGGUGCAGCGGAAACUGGAAUGCUCGAGUAUGGGAGAGGUAAGCGGAAUUCCUGGUGUAGCGGUGAAAUGCGUAGAGAUCAUGAGGAAGACCAGUGGCGAAGGCGGGUCUCUGGACAGUUCCUGACACUGAGACACGAAGGCCAGGGGAGCAAACGGG
RNAcentral lists this ribosomal RNA (253 nucleotides) under uncultured bacterium. RNAcentral's name for it is "partial 16S ribosomal RNA". It matches the Rfam family "Bacterial small subunit ribosomal RNA", at positions 524 to 776 of the family's 1533-position model. The record is from RNAcentral.